This is a long non-coding RNA of Mus musculus (house mouse), 262 nucleotides long. RefSeq annotates it as predicted gene, 39833. Lineage: Eukaryota; Metazoa; Chordata; Mammalia; Rodentia; Muridae. The transcript is spliced from 3 exons. The record is from RefSeq and is a predicted model, not a curated record.
AGGGCAUAUUUAUCUACUUGAUUAACCCAAAACCUGAAGGCUUCUGUUCAAUUCACAGAACCCACCUUCUUCCUCCUACAGAAGGGACUGAUGGCCAGAGGCUCCCAGGUGCUCUUUGAACUUUAAGCCUCUUUGAGCUUCAUGGACUGGUCAGCCACUGGAUUUUCAACCUUUUCAUUACGGAGACAGCCAUGGUUGGACUACCAGGAGAUCAGGAUAUCAGAAUGGACAACAAAAGAAGAGCGAAUCAGGAGACUGAGCA